RNAcentral lists this ribosomal RNA (609 nucleotides) under Triticum aestivum (bread wheat). RNAcentral's name for it is "partial small subunit ribosomal RNA". The record is from RNAcentral. Lineage: Eukaryota; Viridiplantae; Streptophyta; Magnoliopsida; Poales; Poaceae.
AUGGACCUUGGGCGCCUGAACUAUGGGGUCAUUACUAUCAUUCCCAAAGUCCCGGGGGCCUCGGAUAUUCGCCAAUUCCGCCCGAGCACAGUGAUCAACAUGAUCUUGGCUAAAGGGUACGCCAAUGGGGUGACCCUUCCAGCUGACUCUGUCACUCACCCCAACCAGUCCGCCUUCAUCCAAGGCCGGUUUAUUUUGGAUGGGGUGUUGGUCUUCCACGAAGUCCUUCACAAAGUCCGAACCAAGCACCACCGUGCGGUCUUCCUGAAGCUCGACUUCCAUAAAGCCCAUGACACUGUCCAUUGGCCCUUCCUUCGGGAAGUCUGGCUAAGCAAGGGCUUCGACGACCGAUGGGUGACCCAUGUUAUGCAGCUCGUCACUUGCGGUCGAAAGGCGGUUAACAUUAACAAUGAGGUCGGGUCUUACUUCCCCACCCUUUGUGGGGUCCGCCAGGGUGACCCGUUCUCUCUGUUUCUAUUCAACAUGGUUGCCGAUGCCCUCACGGUCAUUCUUGAUAAGGCCAAAGCUUGUGGCCAUAUCCGCGGCGUUGUCCCCCACCUAGUGGGAGGGGGAGGGGUCAGGGUUCCGCGUCUAACAUUGCCAACCUGA